CAGUAGCCGCGGUAAUACGGAGGGUGCAAGCGUUAUCCGGAUUUAUUGGGUUUAAAGGGUUCGUAGGCGGACUUAUAAGUCAGUGGUGAAAGCCUGUCGCUUAACGAUAGAACUGCCAUUGAUACUGUAAGUCUUGAGUAUAUUUGAGGUAGCUGGAAUAAGUAGUGUAGCGGUGAAAUGCAUAGAUAUUACUUAGAACACCAAUUGCGAAGGCAGGUUACCAAGAUAUAACUGACGCUGAGGGACGAAAGCGUGGGUAGCGAACAGGAUUAGAUACCCCGGUAGUCCCUGUCUCUUAUAC
RNAcentral lists this ribosomal RNA (301 nucleotides) under uncultured bacterium. RNAcentral's name for it is "partial 16S ribosomal RNA". It matches the Rfam family "Bacterial small subunit ribosomal RNA", at positions 509 to 807 of the family's 1533-position model. The record is from RNAcentral.